AGAGUUUGAUCCUGGCUCAGGAUGAACGCUGGCGGCGUGCCUAAUACAUGCAAGUCGAGCAACCACUUCGGUGGUGAGCGGCGAACGGGUGAGUAACACGUAGGUGAUCUGCCCAUCAGAGGGGACAACGAUUGGAAACGAUCGCUAAUACCGGAUAGGACGAAAGUUUAAAGGUGCUCCGGCACCGCUGAUGGAUGAGCCUGCGGCGCAUUAGCUAGUUGGUAGGGUAAAGGCCUACCAGGCGACGAUGCGUAGCCGACCUGAGAGGGUGAACGGCCACACUGGGACUGAGACACGGCCAGACUCCUACGGGAGGCAGCAGUAGGGAAUCUUCGGCAAUGGGCGAAAGCCUGACCGAGCACGCCGCGUGAAUGAUGAAGGCCUUCGGGUUGUAAAAUUCUGUUAUAAGGGAAGAACGACUUAGUAGGAAAUGGCUAAAGUGUGACGGUACCUUAUGAGAAAGCCACGGCUAACUACGUGCAGCAGCCGCGGUAAUACGUAGGUGGCAAGCGUUAUCCGGAAUUAUUGGGCGUAAAGAGCCGCAGGUGGUUGAUUAAGUCUGAUGUGAAAAGCCCACGG
Molecule: ribosomal RNA, 579 nt
Filed under: uncultured bacterium
Lineage: Bacteria
Description: bacterial SSU rRNA
Rfam family: Bacterial small subunit ribosomal RNA
Source: RNAcentral